RNAcentral lists this ribosomal RNA (468 nucleotides) under uncultured bacterium. RNAcentral's name for it is "partial 16S ribosomal RNA". It matches the Rfam family "Bacterial small subunit ribosomal RNA", at positions 28 to 507 of the family's 1533-position model. The record is from RNAcentral.
GACGAACGCUGGCGGCGUGCUUAACACAUGCAAGUCGAACGGAAAGGCCCUGCUUUUGUUGGGUGCUCGAUUGGCGAACGGGUGAGUAACACGUGAGUAACCUGCCCUUGACUUUGGGAUAACUUCAGGAAACUGGGGCUAAUACCGGAUAGGAGCUCCUGCUGCAUGGUGUUGGUUGGAAAGUUUCGGCGGUUGGGGAUGGACUCGCGGCUUAUCAGCUUGUUGGUGGGGUAGUGGCUUACCAAGGCUUUGACGGGUAGCCGGCCUGAGAGGGGGACCGGGCACAUGGGGACUGAGAGACGGAGCAGAAUCGUACGGGAGGCAACAGUGGGGAGUAUGACACAAUGGGCGGAAGUCUGAUGCGACAGCGCUGGGUGCGGAAUGACGGGUUUCGGGUUGUAAACAGCUUUCGCCGGUGACGAAGCGUGAGUGACGGUAAUGGAUAAAGAAGCACCGGAUAACUACGUG